This 430-nucleotide ribosomal RNA is filed under the name Salmonella enterica. Its description in RNAcentral is "bacterial SSU rRNA". It matches the Rfam family "Bacterial small subunit ribosomal RNA", at positions 12 to 438 of the family's 1533-position model. The record is from RNAcentral. Lineage: Bacteria; Pseudomonadati; Pseudomonadota; Gammaproteobacteria; Enterobacterales; Enterobacteriaceae.
UUUGAUCAUGGCUCAGAUUGAACGCUGGCGGCAGGCCUAACACAUGCAAGUCGAACGGUAACAGGAAGCAGCUUGCUGCUUCGCUGACGAGUGGCGGACGGGUGAGUAAUGUCUGGGAAACUGCCUGAUGGAGGGGGAUAACUACUGGAAACGGUAGCUAAUACCGCAUAAUGUCGCAGGACCAAAGAGGGGGACCUUCGGGCCUCUUGCCAUCAGAUGUGCCCAGAUGGGAUUAGCUUGUUGGUGAGGUAACGGCUCACCAAGGCGACGAUCCCUAGCUGGUCUGAGAGGAUGACCAGCCACACUGGAACUGAGACACGGUCCAGACUCCUACGGGAGGCAGCAGUGGGGAAUAUUGCACAAUGGGCGCAAGCCUGAUGCAGCCAUGCCGCGUGUAUGAAGAAGGCCUUCGGGUUGUAAAGUACUUUCA